CGAGACCUGCCCAGCAGAGCGACCCGCGAACGCGUGAAAACAAACCGGGACGGGCCGAGGAGGGGCAUCCGCCCCCGAUCGCCCGUCCGCCGGAGCACGUCCGACACCCCCGUCGGUCCGAAAGGACGGAAUUCGGGGGGUCGCGACGAGUUGUCCGUGCAGAACCAAAAACCGGCGCGACAGGCGCCAAGGAAACCUCAGAAGGAAACGGAGGGUUGGCCCGUCCGCGGGCGCGACCCUCGGAAUCCGAUACUCGAACGACUCCCGGCAACGGAUAUCUCGGCUCUUGCAUCGAUGAAGAACGUAGCGAAAUGCGAUACUUGGUGUGAAUUGCAGAAUCCCGUGAACCAUCGAGUCUUUGAACGCAAGUUGCGCCCGAGGCCACUAGGUCGAGGGCACUUCUGCCUGGGCGUCACACAAGGCGUCGCCCCCGACAACCGAUGAGGUCGUCGGGGAGCGGAGAUUGGCCCCCCGGGCCCAUCAGGGCACGGUCGGCACAAAUGCUGGUCCCCGGCGACGAGCGUCGCGGUCAUCGGUGGUCGUGUUAAUCGCCCCCAUACGGCUGACUCGCGUGCCUCGUCGUCGUUUCGUGGACGCAACCACCCCCGGGAGCCGCCAUUUCAAUGGCA
RNAcentral lists this ribosomal RNA (629 nucleotides) under Consolida pubescens. RNAcentral describes it as "eukaryotic LSU rRNA". The stretch from base 260 to 415 matches the Rfam family "5.8S ribosomal RNA". The record is from RNAcentral. Lineage: Eukaryota; Viridiplantae; Streptophyta; Magnoliopsida; Ranunculales; Ranunculaceae.